RNAcentral lists this long non-coding RNA (2502 nucleotides) under Monodelphis domestica (gray short-tailed opossum). RNAcentral's name for it is "lncRNA (ENSMODG00000031223.2)". Lineage: Eukaryota; Metazoa; Chordata; Mammalia; Didelphimorphia; Didelphidae. The record is from RNAcentral.
CUGGAAUCCCAUUAUGAUCUCAUCCAUAUGCUUUGCAUAGGGGUUUGUUUGUGCAUAAUUUAAAUUUCCAAACAACACAAUAGGGACUCAUUUCAGAAGGAUGGCCUCUAGAAAGUCAGUGCCUAGUUCCAAAUGAAUUUAAUUGAAUUCUAAGGAUCUAUUAUUCAAAUGUCCACUACAUGCUAAGCACCAUACUAGGUAUCAGGGAAACAAAGGCAAAAGGGAAAUUUUCCCUGCCUUCAUGGAGUUUUUAUUCUAGCAGGGAGAAACAAUUUCAACCCCCAGAAGUGAAAUCAGGAUGUCUCUGACAUCAUUUCAGAAGAGAGGCCACAGAUCUGAUAGGAUGGGAUUGGAAGUGUUUAAAUGUGAAACCAGGAAAGACUCUCCUCUUUCUAUUGAAACCCAAACUAGGACACCAGGAGACAUCAUCUUCCUCCUUUCCUUGGUCAAGCCUAGUCAAGCAUCCAUAUUUGGAAGGCAGAUAUUUGGAAAGCAUUUUUGUAAAUGUUUGACAGUGGGAAAAUCAGAGAAGACCCAUAUAAGUAAGAAGAUUGGCCUCAAUAUAAUAAGAAGAGACUUAAAAGAGGCCAAGCCCCCGCCUGCUCUGAGGAUCCUGGCUGGAAAGCUCUAUGGGGCUGUAAAUUUCUCUGGUGAAAGGGAUCAGUGUUACAUUGCACAUCUAUCGAUCAGAUUUUGGAACUUUUGAAAAACAAGAAGCUUUGAAAUGUAAAACAAAAAGCCAUGUGCGAGUUUCCCUGUUGGAAAAUUUUCAAACAAAUUGUUUAGGGUUUUUUCCUCCCUCCCACUCUCCCCCCACCUUUCCUUUUAGUAAACAGCCCAUGUAUUUCCUUCUGAGAAUCAGUGUUAGAAAUGAUGAGGAUGGGAAUUAGGAGGACCAGAGUUCAGUUUUCCAGCAUUGCCACCACAAUUGGACAUUUUGACCUUGACUUUGACCAAGUCAUUCAGUCCCUUUGUGCAUAGGUUUCUCUGUUUGAGGGAGAAAAGGCUAACUACCUGGGGUGCCAGGGAGAUAGAAAGAAUCAUGAAAAAAUAAUCUAUGAAUGAAAUACUCCUUGUUAACUCCUUGAAUGAGAGGUGCAAGAAUAUUUACUGACUGGGAGACAGGAGACUAAAACUCUGAUUUUGGAAUUGCCACUGACUUGGUUUGUGCCUUUGGAUUAAUGGCUUAAUUGCUCUGUUCCUUGGUUUCCUCAUUUGUAAAGUGAAAUAUUGAACCAGAUAAUUAUCACAAAGGUCCUUUCCAGCUCUAGCAUUCUACAUGUCUAUUGUGCUAAACUUUCAAUUCCAUAUCUAAUUUUGAUGCACUGAAGAAUGUGAGAUUUAAAAUAGUGAAGCCCAUAAACUGUAGUGAGUUAAAAUGGUGGAAGAUAUAAAUUGUGAUAGAUAUAAGAGAGGGUGAGUAAAUUUGACUGCAGAAAUAUGUUUCACUACAGUGUCUUAGGUUUUAAAUCAAAUAUAAGGUGGUCACCAGGGAAAUAUUCCCAAUUUUUCAAAUACCCAAGUCAACUGGGUUUUAUAGAGAUUUUAAUUAACAAUACAAUGAGUAAUCAAAGAAAGAGAGAGAGAGUAAGAAAGGAAUAAGUAUGAAGGGCCUCAAGCCAAUAUGGCCUAGACCUGAGUCUUAAGAGAGAAAUCAGUCAGUUUUUUAACACUCACCACAAGGUCUGUCUAAACAAGGAUUCUAGUGACACCAGGCCAGCUCCAUCUCAGCUGAUUUCACCAGAGAGCCUUCCAGCCAGAGACUGUUCCAAAGGGCCUCUCUCCAGAGCCUCCAGAGGGACAGAGUCCCCUUAGAGGAGCUCCAGCAAGACCUCCUUAGAGACUGUCCUCCAAAAGCUUCCCUUCUCCAGAGCCUCUCUCAAGAGAUUCUUCCUGAGUGAUCCUCAUCAGAGAUCCUCCAAAAGGAUUUCUCCAAAAGGAUAUCUUCAAGAGAUCCUGCUUUUUCUUAUAUAGGGAUUUUUCUCCCAUGUCCCCUCCCCUAAGUCUCUACAUCUACCAAUCACUGUAGACCCUUCCAAAGGACUGCCCAUCUGAAUUCCUGCUAAGUCGACAAAUCUCCUCAGUAAGUCUGAACCAGUGAAAACACAGCUGAGUCAACUAAUCUCAUUAAGACAAAACUUGCCCAACCCUUUUAGGUACCUAGCAUCUCAUUGUAUCAAUUCUAAAAACAGGCCUGGCUCAAAGAACUCCUUGCCCCACCAUAAGCAUGGGUCCAAGUACUUUCAUUGUUUAGCAAGGAGUUUUUUCCCCCUAAAGCAGUCUUAAGUACAGUUGGAGUAGAGGUCCUCCCAUUUCUGAUCCUGGCGAGUUCUCACAUCAAAAUGGGGAAUGUUUCUCAGUAGGGAAUUUGUUCCAAUUAAGAAUUCCCUGAUGGGGAAAUUUUUAGCAUUCACAAGUCUGAGAGAUUUCAAGAUUUACAAGAAUCAGACGAGGUUUUAUUUCUAGAAUAAAUGCAACACAUCAGAAUAAUAGAAUUUGUCA